CAAUAGCGUAUAUUAAAGUUGUUGCGGUUAAAAAGCUCGUAGUUGGAUUUUGGGUUCACUUCCGGCGGGCCGGUGCAAGCCGCGAACUGCUAGAAUGGACCUUCUGUCUGGAGGGCCGGCGCUUCCGCUUCACUGCGUGGCGUCGGCCGUCUAGGACUUUUACUUUGAACAAAUUGGAGUGUUUAAAGCAGGCGAUUGUCUUGAACACAUUAGCAUGGAAUAACCGAAUAGGGCUUUGGCUCUAUUUUGUUGGUUUUAAGGGCCGAAGUAAUGAUUAAUAGGGAUAGUUGGGGGCAUUCGUAUUUAAUUGUCAGAGGUGAAAUUCUUAGAUUUAUGAAAGACGAACUUCUGCGAAAGCAUUUGCCAAGGAUGUUUUCAUUAAUCAAGAACGAAAGUUAGGGGAUCGAAGA
This 410-nucleotide ribosomal RNA is filed under the name uncultured eukaryote. Its description in RNAcentral is "bacterial SSU rRNA". It matches the Rfam family "Eukaryotic small subunit ribosomal RNA", at positions 592 to 1004 of the family's 1831-position model. The record is from RNAcentral.